This 265-nucleotide ribosomal RNA is filed under the name uncultured Streptococcus sp. Its description in RNAcentral is "partial 16S ribosomal RNA". It matches the Rfam family "Bacterial small subunit ribosomal RNA", at positions 1119 to 1382 of the family's 1533-position model. The record is from RNAcentral. Lineage: Bacteria; Bacillati; Bacillota; Bacilli; Lactobacillales; Streptococcaceae.
CCAUCAUUCAGUUGGGCGACUCUAGCGAGACUGCCGGUAAUAAACCGGAGGAAGGUGGGGAGUGACGUCAAAUCAUCAUGCCCCUUAUGACCUGGGCUACACACGUGCUACAAUGGUUGGUACAACGAGUUGCGAGUCGGUGACGGCGAGCUAAUCUCUUAAAGCCAAUCUCAGUUCGGAUUGUAGGCUGCAACUCGCCUACAUGAAGUCGGAAUCGCUAGUAAUCGCGGAUCAGCACGCCGCGGUGAAUACGUUCCCGGGCCUU